Molecule: ribosomal RNA, 253 nt
Filed under: uncultured bacterium
Lineage: Bacteria
Description: partial 16S ribosomal RNA
Rfam family: Bacterial small subunit ribosomal RNA
Source: RNAcentral
UACGUAGGGUGCAAGCGUUGUCCGGAAUUAUUGGGCGUAAAGAGCUCGUAGGCGGUUUGUCGCGUCUGCUGUGAAAUUUCGGGGCUCAACCCCGAACUUGCAGUGGGUACGGGCAGACUAGAGUGUGGUAGGGGAGACUGGAAUUCCUGGUGUAGCGGUGAAAUGCGCAGAUAUCAGGAGGAACACCGAUGGCGAAGGCAGGUCUCUGGGCCACUACUGACGCUGAGAAGCGAAAGCAUAGGGAGCGAACAGG